Molecule: ribosomal RNA, 1867 nt
Filed under: Campylobacter coli
Lineage: Bacteria; Pseudomonadati; Campylobacterota; Epsilonproteobacteria; Campylobacterales; Campylobacteraceae
Description: partial 23S ribosomal RNA
Rfam family: Bacterial large subunit ribosomal RNA
Source: RNAcentral
AAAAAAGGUAAGCUACUAAGAGCGAAUGGUGGAUGCCUUGACUGGUAAAGGCGAUGAAGGACGUACUAGACUGCGAUAAGCUACGGGGAGCUGUCAAGAAGCUUUGAUCCGUAGAUUUCCGAAUGGGGCAACCCAAUGUAUAGAGAUAUACAUUACCUAUAUAGGAGCGAACGAGGGGAAUUGAAACAUCUUAGUACCCUCAGGAAAAGAAAUCAAUAGAGAUUGCGUCAGUAGCGGCGAGCGAAAGCGCAAGAGGGCAAACCCAGUGCUUGCACUGGGGGUUGUAGGACUGCAAUGUGCAAGAGGUGAGUUUAGCAGAACAUUCUGGAAAGUAUAGCCAUAGAGGGUGAUAGUCCCGUAUGCGAAAAACAAACCUUAGCUAGCAGUAUCCUGAGUAGGGCGGGACACGAGGAAUCCUGUCUGAAGCUGGGUCGACCACGAUCCAACCCUAAAUACUAAUACCAGAUCGAUAGUGCACAAGUACCGUGAGGGAAAGGUGAAAAGAACUGAGGUGAUCAGAGUGAAAUAGAACCUGAAACCAUUUGCUUACAAUCAUUCAGAGCCCUAUGUAGCAAUACAGGGUGAUGGACUGCCUUUUGCAUAAUGAGCCUGCGAGUUGUGGUGUCUGGCAAGGUUAAGCAAACGCGAAGCCGUAGCGAAAGCGAGUCUGAAUAGGGCGCUUAGUCAGAUGCUGCAGACCCGAAACGAAGUGAUCUAUCCAUGAGCAAGUUGAAGCUAGUGUAAGAACUAGUGGAGGACUGAACCCAUAGGCGUUGAAAAGCCCCGGGAUGACUUGUGGAUAGGGGUGAAAGGCCAAUCAAACUUCGUGAUAGCUGGUUCUCUCCGAAAUAUAUUUAGGUAUAGCGUUGUGUCGUAAUAUAAGGGGGUAGAGCACUGAAUGGGCUAGGGCAUACACCAAUGUACCAAACCCUAUCAAACUCCGAAUACCUUAUAUGUAAUCACAGCAGUCAGGCGGCGAGUGAUAAAAUCCGUCGUCAAGAGGGAAACAACCCAGACUACCAGCUAAGGUCCCUAAAUCUUACUUAAGUGGAAAACGAUGUGAAGUUACUUAAACAACCAGGAGGUUGGCUUAGAAGCAGCCAUCCUUUAAAGAAAGCGUAAUAGCUCACUGGUCUAGUGAUUUUGCGCGGAAAAUAUAACGGGGCUAAAGUAAGUACCGAAGCUGUAGACUUGCGCACAACUUAGAUUAUUUAAGUUUAGAAUAUGAGAAACUAAGUUAUAUGUUUAGUUAUAUUUUUACUGAUUUUUAUAGAGUAAAGAUAGAAAUAAAACUUAGUAAAAUCAGUAAAAAUAUUCUUAGACUAAAGUUAAGUAGUUUAAGUUGUGUGCAAGUGGUAGGAGAGCGUUCUAUUUGCGUCGAAGGUAUACCGGUAAGGAGUGCUGGAGCGAAUAGAAGUGAGCAUGCAGGCAUGAGUAGCGAUAAUUAAUGUGAGAAUCAUUAACGCCGUAAACCCAAGGUUUCCUACGCGAUGCUCGUCAUCGUAGGGUUAGUCGGGUCCUAAGUCGAGUCCGAAAGGGGUAGACGAUGGCAAAUUGGUUAAUAUUCCAAUACCAACAUUAGUGUGCGAUGGAAGGACGCUUAGGGCUAAGGGGGCUAGCGGAUGGAAGUGCUAGUCUAAGGUCGUAGGAGGUUAUACAGGCAAAUCCGUAUAACAAUACUCCGAGAACUGAAAGGCUUUUUGAAGUCUUCGGAUGGAUAGAAGAACCCCUGAUGCCAUCGAGCCAAGAAAAGUUUCUAAGUUUAGCUAAUGUUGCCCGUACCGUAAACCGACACAGGUGGGUGGGAUGAGUAUUCUAAGGCGCGUGGAAGAACUCUCUUUAAGGAACUCUGCAAAAUAGCACCGUA